CCUACGGGACGCAGCAGUGAGGAAUAUUGGUCAAUGGCCGUAAGGCUGAACCAGCCAAGCCGCGUGAAGGAUGAAGGUCCUAUGGUUUGUAAAUUUCUUUUAUAGGGGAGUACAGGUAUCCACGGGUGGAUUUUUGCAUUUACCCUAUGAAUAAGCAUCGGCUAACUCCGUGCCAGCUGCCGCGGUAAUAAGGAGGAUGCGACGGUUAUCCGGUUUUGUUGGGUUUAAAGGGUGCGUAGGUUGUUUUUUAAGUCAGCGGUGAAAGUCUGUGGCUCAACCAUAAAAUUGCCGUUGAUACUGGAAGACUUGAGUGUGUUUGAGGUAGGCGGAAUGCGUGGUGUAGCGGUGAAAUGCAUAGAUAUCACGAAGAACACCGAUUGCGAAGGCAGCUUACUAGGCCAUAACUGACGCUGAAGCACGAAAGCGUGGGGAUCAAACAGGAUUAGAUACCCUUGUAGUC
This 460-nucleotide ribosomal RNA is filed under the name uncultured bacterium. RNAcentral describes it as "partial 16S ribosomal RNA". It matches the Rfam family "Bacterial small subunit ribosomal RNA", at positions 338 to 795 of the family's 1533-position model. The record is from RNAcentral.